RNAcentral lists this ribosomal RNA (406 nucleotides) under uncultured bacterium. Its description in RNAcentral is "partial 16S ribosomal RNA". It matches the Rfam family "Bacterial small subunit ribosomal RNA", at positions 30 to 526 of the family's 1533-position model. The record is from RNAcentral.
AUUGAACGCUGGCGGCAGGCCUAACACAUGCAAGUCGAACGAGUGGCGGACGGGUGAGUAAUGUCUGGGAAACUGCCCGAUGGAGGGGGAUAACUACUGGAAACGGUAGCUAAUACCGCAUACCAUCGGAUGUGCCCAGAUGGGAUUAGCUAGUAGGUGGGGUAACGGCGCACCUAGGCGACGAUCCCUAGCUGGUCUUAGAGGAUGACCAUCAACACUUGUACUAGGACCGGGUCCAGACUCGUACGGGAGGCAGCAGUGAGGAAUAUUGGACAUUGGGCGGAAGCCUGGUGCAGCCAUGCCGCGUGUAUGAAGAAGGCCUUCGUGUUGUAAAGUACUUUCAGCGAGGAGGCGUUACUCGCAGAAGAAGCACCGGCUAACUCCGUGCCAGCGGCCGCGGUAAUAC